UACCCUCGGGAGGGGGAUAACCCCGGGAAACUGGGGCUAAUCCCCCAUAGGCCUGAGGUACUGGAAGGUCCUCAGGCCGAAAGGGGCUCUGCCCGCCCGAGGAUGGGCCGGCGGCCGAUUAGGUAGUUGGUGGGGUAACGGCCCACCAAGCCGAAGAUCGGUACGGGCCAUGAGAGUGGGAGCCCGGAGAUGGACACUGAGACACGGGUCCAGGCCCUACGGGGCGCAGCAGGCGCGAAACCUCCGCAAUGCUCGAAAGAGCGACGGGGGGACCUCCAGUGCCGUGGCAUCGCCACGGCUUUUCCGGAGUGUAAAGAGCUCCGGGAAUAAGGGCUGGGCAAGGCCGGUGGCAGCCGCCGCGGUAAUACCGGCGGCCCGAGUGGUGGCCGCUAUUAUUGGGCCUAAAGCGUCCGUAGCCGGGCCAGUAAGUCCCUGGCGAAAUCCCACGGCUCAACCGUGGGGCUUGCUGGGGAUACUGCUGGCCUUGGGACCGGGAGAGGCGGAGGGUACUCCUGGGGUAGGGGUGAAAUCCUAUAAUCCCAGGAGGACCGCCAGUGGCGAAGGCGCUCCGCUGGAACGGGUCCGACGGUGAGGGACGAAGGCCAGGGGAGCGAACCGGAUUAGAUACCCGGGUAGUCCUGGCUGUAAAGGAUGCAGGCUAGGU
Molecule: ribosomal RNA, 664 nt
Filed under: uncultured archaeon
Lineage: Archaea
Description: bacterial SSU rRNA
Rfam family: Archaeal small subunit ribosomal RNA
Source: RNAcentral